GCGGAAGUGAAGCGGUGGCGGAGGAGGAGGCGCCAUGGAGGCGCUGGCCGUCACCGCCCAGCUCUGCGGGCCGGAGCUGGAGCGCUACGGGCGCUGCGUGGCCGCGAGCCCCGGGAGCUGGCACCGGGAUUGUCACCAACUGUCCCUGAGCGUCACCGAGUGUGCAUCCAACCACCCCCUGGUGCGCCGGAUCCGCCGGGAUUGCUCCGACUCCUUCGGGGCCUUCGAACGCUGCCUGCGGGAGCGGCCCCGGCGCGCGGCCGAGUGCGGCCCCCAGGUCAGCCAGUUCCUGCUCUGCGCCCAGAAUGUCACCCAGAGUGGCACCCGUGGGGACACUGCCAUGGCCACCCCCAGCGCCACCCCCAGGGACAGCCCCAGUGCCACCUCCGCAGGUGAAUUUUGGGGUAAAAAUGGGAAUUAAACCCCCAAAUGAGGCCCCCACGUCAGCCAGUUCCUGCUCUGCGCCCAGAGUGUCACCCAGAGUGUCACCCAGAGGGUCACGCCCAGUGCCACCUCCGCAGAGAAUCCCUGGAAUUAAAACCCAUCCAGGAAUGCCGAGAAAGCCUCAGAACCUUCUGGAAUCUCCUCCCAAAUCCUGGGAAUUGCCUCUCUGGAAAAGGAGCCCUGGGAUGUGGGGCCUGAUCCGCAAUUCCCUGCGGAUUCCCGGGUUUUUAUCCCAAGAAUUGGAGGAAGAAAUUAAAAUUCCAGCAGGAUCUCCCCAGGAA
Molecule: RNA transcript, 725 nt
Organism: Zonotrichia leucophrys gambelii
Lineage: Eukaryota; Metazoa; Chordata; Aves; Passeriformes; Passerellidae
Gene: CHCHD5
Gene name: coiled-coil-helix-coiled-coil-helix domain containing 5
Exons: 4
Source: RefSeq, a predicted model, not a curated record